This is a non-coding RNA of Fragaria vesca subsp. vesca, 74 nucleotides long. The record is from the annotation of a RefSeq genome assembly. NCBI's taxonomy places the organism in Eukaryota, Viridiplantae, Streptophyta, Magnoliopsida, Rosales, Rosaceae.
GGGGUGGUGGCGCAGUUGGCUAGCGCGUAGGUCUCAUAAUCCUGAGGUCGAGAGUUCGAGCCUCUCUCGCCCCA